AUAAACAUUAUAUAUGCUUUUUAAAAAGUUAGAAGCUUUUUUAAAAUAUUUCUUU
RNAcentral lists this transfer RNA (55 nucleotides) under Plateros sp. UPOL A00495. Its description in RNAcentral is "partial tRNA-Ser". The record is from RNAcentral. Lineage: Eukaryota; Metazoa; Arthropoda; Insecta; Coleoptera; Lycidae.